ACGGGCCGUUUUUCGCAAGAGAGACGGUCAGUGGCGAAAGGGUGAGUAACACGUGAGUAACCUGCCCCCAAGUCCGGGAUAGCCCGCGGAAACGCGGAUUAAUACCGGAUGUGGUACCGCGGCGCAUGCCGUGGCCACUGAAGAUUUAUCGCUCGGGGAUGGACUCGCGGCCCAUAAGCUUGUUGGCGGGGUAACGGCCCACCAAGGCUAUGACGGGUAGGUGGUCUGAGAGGAUGGUCACCCACACUGGGACUGAGACACUGCCCAGACUCCUACGGGAGGCUGCAGUCGAGAAUCUUCCGCAAUGGGCGCAAGCCUGACGGAGCGAUGCCGCGUGAGGGAUGAAGGCCUUCGGGUUGUAAACCUCUGUCAGAGGGGACAAAGAAUGUGAUGGUACCCUCAGAGGAAGCCACGGCUAACUACGUGCCAGCAGCCGCGGUAAUACGUAGGUGGCGAGCGUUAUUCGGAUUCACUGGGCGUAAAGGGUCCGUAGGGGGUCUGCCAAGUCUGAUGUGAAAUCCCGCGGCUCAACUGCGGAACGGCAUUGGAUACUGGCGGGCUGGAGUCUGCGAGGGGUGAGCGGAAUUCCUGGUGUAGCGGUGGAAUGCGUAGAUAUCAGGAAGAACACCGAUGGCGAAGGCGGCUCACUGGCGCAGUACUGACCCUGAGGGACGAAAGCGUGGGGAGCAAACAGGAUUAGAUACCCUGGUAGUCCACGCCUUAAACAUUGUGCACUAGAUGUGGGGGGUUUGACCCCUUCCGUGUCCAAGCUAACGCGAUAAGUGCACCGCCUGGGGACUACGGCCGCAAGGCUAAA
This 817-nucleotide ribosomal RNA is filed under the name uncultured Lentisphaerota bacterium. RNAcentral's name for it is "bacterial SSU rRNA". It matches the Rfam family "Bacterial small subunit ribosomal RNA", at positions 66 to 898 of the family's 1533-position model. Lineage: Bacteria; Pseudomonadati; Lentisphaerota. The record is from RNAcentral.